GGAAAAUAGUCAAUAGAAAGUACCGCCGAGAUUGUCACAGCUACAGCUUUCUUAUUGGAUUGGUGGCGCGAAAUACAAACAACCCGAAUGAAACGAGCGAUCAUUACAACAGAUACGUUAAAUAAUUUGGAGGAGUCUGUGACAGAGCUGAACAAAGAAGUGGAAAGACUGACUCAGAACAUUGAAGCAGUGACGCAGUACCAGUCAUCUGUCUUCCAGGUCACUAAAGUGCUGUGCUCCUGGAUGGAUAAUAUAAAGGAACUUGCCAAACAUAGGAAACAUCUGCAUCGGACUUCUGAUACAGAGUGAGCUGCGGAUCUUUCUAUGGUGAUUGCUCCUUGGUUUACGCAGGAAACAAUUCCCAUCUUUAGCUACAGUACCGGCUCUACAAUACUGGAAUUAAAUGGUUGGUCCAAGAACAAUGAUGUCACAACAUUGUGUGAGCCUUGCUGAAUCAAAUCACAUCUUUCACGUUCCAAAUGAGGAUCCUGUGGUACAGUUAAAUAUACAAGCCAUAAGGACUGCUGUGGUUUAAAUCAAAGCGAUGGAGCCUUUGGUUUAUUCUUUAAUUUUAAGUGUAUGCUAUGGGGGAGAAGGGAAAUUCCAGGCAUUCGAAGAUGUAGAGGAGCUUCUGGUUAUUGACAAAUUAUAUUACACUGUGCUUUUCUGAUUUUUGUACAAAAGGGCAAGCUGAACAUUACCUAUGAAAAUCAUCACAUGCAUUGUUUGAGCAUUGCAAGAAAUAUAGAAAAAGGCUUUAAUACUUAGUGAUACAAGUUGUUGUGUACAAAUUACAUAUAGGAGUGUUCACAUGUCUGGAGCACUAUACAGCAGCUAGAAUGUUAACCAUAUGCAAGCGCACUAGAUGGCAGCAAUAUUUCCUGUUGAGUAGUGCUCCAGACACCAACCUAGGUAUUUUUUCAAAAAAGAAUACAAAGGGAAUGUAAUAGAAUCAAAUGCUUUGCUGUGUCUGAAUCACAAAAUAAAAAUGUUGGGUUUCAUAUCCCUUUAAUGAUAAA
Molecule: long non-coding RNA, 1019 nt
Organism: Bombina bombina (fire-bellied toad)
Lineage: Eukaryota; Metazoa; Chordata; Amphibia; Anura; Bombinatoridae
Exons: 3
Source: RefSeq, a predicted model, not a curated record